This 492-nucleotide ribosomal RNA is filed under the name uncultured bacterium. RNAcentral describes it as "partial 16S ribosomal RNA". It matches the Rfam family "Bacterial small subunit ribosomal RNA", at positions 29 to 507 of the family's 1533-position model. The record is from RNAcentral.
AGUGAACGCUGGCGGUAGGCCUAACACAUGCAAGUCGAACGGCAGCACAGUAAGAGCUUGCUCUUACGGGUGGCGAGUGGCGGACGGGUGAGGAAUACAUCGGAAUCUACUUUUUCGUGGGGGAUAACGUAGGGAAACUUACGCUAAUACCGCAUACGACCUACGGGUGAAAGCAGGGGAUCUUCGGACCUUGCGCGAUUGAAUGAGCCGAUGUCGGAUUAGCUAGUUGGCGGGGUAAAGGCCCACCAAGGCGACGAUCCGUAGCUGGUCUGAGAGGAUGAUAAGCCACACUGGAACUGAGACACGGUCCAGACUCCUACGGGAGGCAGCAGUGGGGAAUAUUGGACAAUGGGCGCAAGCCUGAUCCAGCCAUACCGCGUGGGUGAAGAAGGCAUUCGGGUUGUAAAGCCCUUUUGUUGGGAAAGAAAAGCAGCAGGUUAAUACCCCGCUGUUCUGACGGUACCCAAAGAAUAAGCACCGGCUAACUUCGUG